RNAcentral lists this transfer RNA (73 nucleotides) under Astyanax mexicanus (Mexican tetra). It matches the Rfam family "tRNA". Rfam says of the family: Transfer RNA (tRNA) molecules are approximately 80 nucleotides in length. The record is from Rfam by way of RNAcentral. Lineage: Eukaryota; Metazoa; Chordata; Actinopteri; Characiformes; Acestrorhamphidae.
GAUUUUGUGGGUCUAGGGGUAUGAUUCUCGCUUAGGGUGCGAGAGGUCCCGGGUUCAAAUCCCGACGAGCCCA